Vicia faba (fava bean) is the source of this 195-nucleotide non-coding RNA. NCBI's taxonomy places the organism in Eukaryota, Viridiplantae, Streptophyta, Magnoliopsida, Fabales, Fabaceae. The record is from the annotation of a GenBank genome assembly.
AUGUUCUUUUAUCCCUUUCCCGUGAAGGCUUUCUUUCUCGCUUGUUCCGGUGGUGCCUCCUGUCAUCGAUUUUAUGUGGGACUUUUCGGUGGGAGGAUUAUCAUGGAGAAAUGGAGACAUAUCUUGCUAUCAAAGGAAGAGGAGAAAGGGAUAACAAAGACAAAGGAUGAAAUUAAUGAAGAAGAAGUGUUUUAG